Molecule: ribosomal RNA, 602 nt
Filed under: uncultured bacterium
Lineage: Bacteria
Description: bacterial SSU rRNA
Rfam family: Bacterial small subunit ribosomal RNA
Source: RNAcentral
AUUAGGCAGUUGGCGGGGUAACGGCCCACCAAACCGACGAUGGAUAGGGGUUCUGAGAGGAAGGUCCCCCACAUUGGUACUGAGACACGGACCAAACUCCUACGGGAGGCAGCAGUGAGGAAUAUUGGUCAAUGGGCGUAAGCCUGAACCAGCCAAGUCGCGUGAGGGAUGAAGGUUCUAUGGAUCGUAAACCUCUUUUAUAAGGGAAUAAAGUGUGGGACGUGUCCUAUUUUGUAUGUACCUUAUGAAUAAGGAUCGGCUAACUCCGUGCCAGCAGCCGCGGUAAUACGGAGGAUCCGAGCGUUAUCCGGAUUUAUUGGGUUUAAAGGGUGCGUAGGCGGCCUUUUAAGUCAGCGGUGAAAGUCUGUGGCUCAACCAUAGAAUUGCCGUUGAAACUGGGGGGCUUGAGUAUGUUUGAGGCAGGCGGAAUGCGUGGUGUAGCGGUGAAAUGCUUAGAUAUCACGCAGAACCCCGAUUGCGAAGGCAGCCUGCCAAGCCAUGACUGACGCUGAUGCACGAAAGCGUGGGGAUCAAACAGGAUUAGAUACCCUGGUAGUCCACGCAGUAAACGAUGAUCACUAGCUGUUUGCGAUACAGUGUAA